This 1644-nucleotide long non-coding RNA is filed under the name Zostera marina. RNAcentral describes it as "long non-coding RNA (ZMAR_LNC004169)". The record is from RNAcentral. Lineage: Eukaryota; Viridiplantae; Streptophyta; Magnoliopsida; Alismatales; Zosteraceae.
UUACGUACUAGUUGUCAGUGUCCUAGAGAUGAAACAAUGCUAGCUGAUUAUCCUACCUCUGUUAAUACUACCUGAGGAAUGAUUUUUUUUAAAGCGCUACCCAUUUCUCCCUCCCUCGACCUUUCUCCCCUCAAGGCGAUCGAUAUUUUCCGUGCUUCUUCUCCAUCGUAUUCUCCGUCUGCGUUUUUUCUUCUCGGCGACCGCAUUUUUUUUCUUUGGCAUACUCUCCGUCUGCGGUGUGUUUUCUUGUUUUUUCUUACUGCGUUUUUUUUUCUUCAUCGUACCUUCUAUUCUUUUCCGAAAAAAUUUUGAACCCAUUUUUUUUUCCCAAAACAUUUUUUAGAUAAAUGUUACGAUCUCCACAUUUUCUUUUGUCUACAUUGCAAAUAAUGAUUUUGGCAGUUACCUUUGAAACGGUUUUUUUUUAAUCAAAAUCCUAGUUUAUCCUAUAUAAAGACUUUUUUGUUCAUAGCAGUUGUCGGAAGACUGUAAGUCGUUGGUUUCUUCUCUAUAUGUUAUUCUCAGGUAUUUCCUAUUGACAUCAUUAUUUAGAACUUGAAUGUUUUUAUUUUUCUCUGUUAUUGAUUUUAUCGGUUCUUAUUUUUUUUGUUCUUUAUUCUCUUAAAAAUCGGAUGUUUGUUUUUUUAUUUUUGAUAAUCGCAUGUUUGUUUUUUUCGCUAUCUCACUUAUUUGUCUAAAAAAUCUGAUGUCUGUUUAUAACGUUUUGUGUUUUUCUCUGUAUUUGAACAUGUUAUAUUUUUUUGGUUUCUAUUUUUUUUUAAAAUGUGUUGUUUUUUAUUUCUCUCUGUUGUUAUUUAUCUGUAUUUUUUAAUUUUUUAUAAUCACAUGUUCGUUUAGUUCACUAUUUUUUAUUUAUUUAAACAUUUAAUGUUUGUUUAUAUCUCGGUUUUCUUCAAUGUAGUUGCCAUAGAAAAUAUCUGUUAAUUUCCUGCUGGCCCAACGUCGGCGGUGAUAAUGCUGAUGUAUCCCUGAGCAUUGGAUGGAAGAAAUGGUUGGGCGUCGCCAUAUGGGAACUAGGGUUUUCCGCCUAGGAGAAAAGGGGCACCCAACUGAUAAAACGGUCACUAAGAAAAGAGAGGAAGAGAGAGUGAACUUUUGUUAAUCACUAAUGGUGAUUAACUUUGUAUUAGAGUAAUUAAAUCAUUGUUUAUCGAAUUGUAUUUAUACAUUUAAUCAGUGAAUGCUUAACUAACUAAUCUCUCACUAGUUAAUUAACAUUUAACUAAAUCUAAUACUAAACUUCACUUGUGGGCCGGACUUCACGCUGUGGUCUUCCAUGAGUCCAGUCUGUGGCUGUUAAUUCAGUUACGACAUUUCUGCAAGAACACAUAAGUUAUUCAUGAAUGACAACCAAGUCCUUCAUUUAAUUUGGUUUUAUUUUUGGGUCAUUUAACCAAGUAUCCUUAUAUGUUUAAUUAAUAAAGAACACUUGGAUAUUUAUAACCCAGUCCUUUCAUGAAUCUCUUUAACUGAUUUCGUAACGCCCUUUUAUUUAUUUUUAUUACGUUUGGGUCCUAAUAACGUUUUACUGAAACAUUUAUGAAUUAGACCCUGUUAGUUAAUUACGUACUAACAGUUAAUUCUGUUUUAACACGCCCUUUGGGUUGUGUUUAUUUCAAUUAG